Molecule: ribosomal RNA, 835 nt
Filed under: uncultured bacterium
Lineage: Bacteria
Description: bacterial SSU rRNA
Rfam family: Bacterial small subunit ribosomal RNA
Source: RNAcentral
CGGGAAUACUGGGCGUAAGCGCACGCAGGCGGUCUGUUAAGUCAGAUGUGAAAUCCCCGGGCUUAACCUGGGAACUGCAUUUGAAACUGGCAGGCUUGAGUCUUGUAGAGGGGGGUAGAAUUCCAGGUGUAGCGGUGAAAUGCGUAGAGAUCUGGAGGAAUACCGGUGGCGAAGGCGGCCCCCUGGACAAAGACUGACGCUCAGGUGCGAAAGCGUGGGGAGCAAACAGGAUUAGAUACCCUGGUAGUCCACGCCGUAAACGAUGUCGACUUGGAGGUUGUUCCCUUGAGGAGUGGCUUCCGGAGCUAACGCGUUAAGUCGACCGCCUGGGGAGUACGGCCGCAAGGUUAAAACUCAAAUGAAUUGACGGGGGCCCGCACAAGCGGUGGAGCAUGUGGUUUAAUUCGAUGCAACGCGAAGAACCUUACCUACUCUUGACAUCCAGCGAACUUAGCAGAGAUGCUUUGGUGCCUUCGGGAACGCUGGGACAGGUGCUGCAUGGCUGUCGUCAGCUCGUGUUGUGAGAUGUUGGGUUAAGUCCCGCAACGAGCGCAACCCUCGUUCUAUGUUGCCAGCACGUGAUGGUGGGAACUCAUAGGAGACUGCCGGGGUCAACUCGGAGGAAGGUGGGGAUGACGUCAAAUCAUCAUGCCCUUUAUGUCUUGGGCUUCACGCAUGCUACAAUGGCUGGUACAGAGAGAGGCGAACCCGUGAGGGUGAGCGAAUCCCUUAAAGCCAGUCUCAGUUCGGAUCGUAGUCUGCAAUUCGACUACGUGAAGUCGGAGUCGCUAGUAAUCGCAGAUCAGCAACGCUGCGGUGAAUACGUUCCCGGGCC